UCUCGAGACCUCACUGACUGGCACUACUCUUGCAGGUUUGACCAAUUCGUCCCUUGGAUCCAGACUUUGAUCCUGGCUCGGGAUGAACGCUGGCGGCGGUGCUUAACAACAUGCAAGUCGAACGAAAGCAUUUAAGACAGAUUACUUCGGUUUGAAGUCUUUUUAUGACUGAGGUGGCGGACGGGUGGAGUAACGCGUGGGUAACCUGCCUCAUACAGGGGGAUAGCAGCUGGAAACGGCUGGUAAUACCGCAUAAGCGCACAGUACCACAUGGUACAGUGUGAAAAACUCCGGUGGUAUGAGAUGGACCCGCGUCUGAUUAGCUAGUUGGCGGGGUAACGGCCCACCAAGGCGACGAUCAGUAGCCGACCUGAGAGGGUGACCGGCCACAUUGGGACUGAGACACGGCCCAGACUCCUACGGGAGGCAGCAGUGGGGAAUAUUGUACAAUGGAGGAAACUCUGAUGCAGCGACGCCGCGUGAGUGAAGAAGUAGUUCGCUAUGUAAAGCUCUAUCAGCAGGGAAGAUAGUGACGGUACCUGACUAAGAAGCUCCGGCUAAAUACGUGCCAGCAGCCGCGGUAAUACGUAUGGAGCAAGCGUUAUCCGGAUUUACUGGGUGUAAAGGGAGUGUAGGUGGCCAGGCAAGUCAGAAGUGAAAGCCCGGGGCUCAACCCCGGGACUGCUUUUGAAACUGCAGGGCUAGAGUGCAGGAGGGGCAAGUGGAAUUCCUAGUGUAGCGGUGAAAUGCGUAGAUAUUAGGAGGAACACCAGUGGCGAASGCGGCUUACUGGACUGUAACUGACGUUGAGGCUCGAAAGCGUGGGGAGCAAACAGGAUUAGAUACCCUGGUAGUCCACGCCGUAAACGAUGAUUACUAGGUGUUGGUGGGUAUGACCC
This 899-nucleotide ribosomal RNA is filed under the name uncultured bacterium. RNAcentral's name for it is "bacterial SSU rRNA". It matches the Rfam family "Bacterial small subunit ribosomal RNA", at positions 1 to 838 of the family's 1533-position model. The record is from RNAcentral.